This 700-nucleotide ribosomal RNA is filed under the name uncultured Bacteroidota bacterium. RNAcentral describes it as "bacterial SSU rRNA". It matches the Rfam family "Bacterial small subunit ribosomal RNA", at positions 82 to 780 of the family's 1533-position model. The record is from RNAcentral. Lineage: Bacteria; Pseudomonadati; Bacteroidota.
GUCUGACAUGAAACCGGCGCACGGGUGCGUAACACGUAUGCAACCUACCUUUAACUGGGGUAUAGCUCAGAGAAAUCUGAAUUAAUCCCCCAUAAGACUACGACAUGGCAUCAUGAUGUAGUUAAAGCUCCGGCGGUUAAGGAUGGGCAUGCGGUACAUUAGCUAGUUGGUGAGGUAAUGGCUCACCAAGGCUACGAUGUAUAGGGGGUCUGAGAGGAUGAUCCCCCACACUGGUACUGAGACACGGACCAGACUCCUACGGGAGGCAGCAGUAGGGAAUAUUGGUCAAUGGACGCAAGUCUGAACCAGCCAUGCCGCGUGAAGGAUGAAGGCCCUAUGGGUCGUAAACUUCUUUUAUUAGGGAAGAAAAAAUGGGAUGCGUCCUAUACUGACGGUACUUAAUGAAUAAGGAUCGGCUAACUUCGUGCCAGCAGCCGCGGUAAGACGAAGGAUCCAAGCGUUGUCCGGAUUUACUGGGUUUAAAGGGUGCGUAGGCGGAAAAUUAAGUCAGUGGUGAAAGCCCGCAGCUCAACUGUGGAACUGCCAUUGAAACUGGUUUUCUUGAAUAUAGCUGAGGCAGAUGGAAUAUAACAUGUAGCGGUGAAAUGCUUAGAUAUGUUAUAGAACACCGAUUGCGAAGGCAGUCUGCUAAACUAUUAUUGACGCUGAGGCACGAAAGCGUGGGGAGCGAACAGGAUUA